UUGAAAAAAAUUUUAAUGAUACUAUGAUAGAGAUCAUAGUAUAUCUUACUAUCAGAUAGAACUGAAUCUAUGGGGUCACACAAUAAAGAGCUUAGACCUAGAAUAAGUAAUUGGACUUAUGAAGUCUCAAUUAGAUUUAGAGAAAUCCUAUUGGGUUCAAGAUAAUCUUGCUAGCACAUGGUUGAAUCCAAUUUUCUCUUUGCACUUGAAUUAC
Molecule: long non-coding RNA, 214 nt
Filed under: Elaeis guineensis (African oil palm)
Lineage: Eukaryota; Viridiplantae; Streptophyta; Magnoliopsida; Arecales; Arecaceae
Description: long non-coding RNA (EGUI_LNC007383)
Source: RNAcentral